RNAcentral lists this transfer RNA (104 nucleotides) under Rhizoctonia solani AG-8 WAC10335. It matches the Rfam family "tRNA". Rfam says of the family: Transfer RNA (tRNA) molecules are approximately 80 nucleotides in length. Lineage: Eukaryota; Fungi; Basidiomycota; Agaricomycetes; Cantharellales; Ceratobasidiaceae. The record is from Rfam by way of RNAcentral.
GCCCUGCUAGCUCAAUCGGUAGAGCGUGAGACUUUUACGAGCUUCGGUCAAGCGUGGGUUAUCUAUUUAUCUCAAGGCUGCGGGUUCGAGCCCCGCGUGGGGCU